UCUUAAAUUUUCAACGAUGGAUAUCUAGGCUCCUAUACCGAUGAAGAACGCAGCGAAAUGCGAAACGCAAUGCGAAUUGCAGAACCGCGAGUCAUCAGAUCUUUGAACGCAAGUGGCG
This 118-nucleotide ribosomal RNA is filed under the name uncultured freshwater alveolate. Its description in RNAcentral is "5.8S ribosomal RNA". It matches the Rfam family "5.8S ribosomal RNA", at positions 1 to 115 of the family's 154-position model. From Rfam's summary of the family: 5.8S ribosomal RNA (5.8S rRNA) is a component of the large subunit of the eukaryotic ribosome. It is transcribed by RNA polymerase I as part of the 45S precursor that also contains 18S and 28S rRNA. Functionally, it is thought that 5.8S rRNA may be involved in ribosome translocation. The record is from RNAcentral.